RNAcentral lists this ribosomal RNA (301 nucleotides) under uncultured bacterium. Its description in RNAcentral is "partial 16S ribosomal RNA". It matches the Rfam family "Bacterial small subunit ribosomal RNA", at positions 509 to 808 of the family's 1533-position model. The record is from RNAcentral.
CAGUAGCCGCGGUAAUACGUAGGGUGCAAGCGUUAAUCGGAAUUACUGGGCGUAAAGCGUGCGCAGGCGGUUCGUUAAGACAGAUGUGAAAUCCCCAGGCUUAACCUGGGAACUGCAUUUGUGACUGGCGGGCUAGAGUAUGGCAGAGGGGGGUAGAAUUCCACGUGUAGCAGUGAAAUGCGUAGAGAUGUGGAGGAAUACCGAUGGCGAAGGCAGCCCUCUGGCCAAUACUGACGCUCAUGCACGAAAGCGUGGGGAGCAAACAGGAUUAGAUACCCGUGUAGUCCCUGUCUCUUAUACA